CGGGCAGCCCUGGCCAGCAGCUCUUGUCCCUGUGGCUGGAGGCUGAAGUCCACGUAGGCCCCGGCGGGGAGCCGCUGGGGUGUAGGCCGGGUGCCUUUGUCCAAGCCUGGCGCCACUGCCCAGACACUUUACUUCAAAUUUGGCUUUAUUUUCAUCAUUGAUAUUGAUUAAAAUGACAUUCACUUGCCCGGAAAGUAAAAGAGGUCUUCAGCACAAAAUAUUGCUCCAACAAGCAAGCAUAAAUCACUGAGAUUGAAAUGUCAUCUAUCUUUAUUGGCCAACCACAUAAUCUCCAUGAAAAUUCUCAACAGAGAGCAAGGAACUCACUUUCUUCUAAGCAAAGACAAUUUGGAUUUGCCUCGUGGCACUGGCAUCUCUUCAUGUCUGGACGUCAGAUGUUAGCUUGGUGCCUUUCUCCCUUAUCAGGGGGACAUUUUGAACCCAGCCGCACCAAUGUUCUCAUGGAUGGUG
This 471-nucleotide long non-coding RNA is filed under the name Homo sapiens (human). Its description in RNAcentral is "non-protein coding lnc-C21orf140-1:2". Lineage: Eukaryota; Metazoa; Chordata; Mammalia; Primates; Hominidae. The record is from RNAcentral.